GAAAAUGCAUUAUGAAUUCUUUAUUCGUAAUAGAAAAGUUGGAUGGUUGCUUUCAAAGCAAAGUAGUUUUAAUAUGAAAUUUAUUCAAACUGUGGAUGGAUAGACUUUGUUCCAUGAUUUUUGUAGGGUGGCCCAAAAAUGCUGGAUGAUGCCUUAAUGUGAAAGCUAGUUGUCGAUCCUAGUCCCUAAAUGCUAAUAUUAUCUAUUGUGCUUUGACGGACCCUUAGUCCCUAAAUGCGAUUUUGUAACUACAGUAUGAAGUGAUUUUGCAAAUGCAAAAGAAAGUGUUUCCUUGUGUUUUAUUGGCCCACUGAUAAGGGUUUCAAAGGAGAAUAAUGAAGAAACGAAUCGACUGAAGCAAAUUACAAAGAAACCAACUCUUUGGAGUCUAAACUAUUUCUUAUAAUAUGGCAUUAUGAUUAAUGGAGGAAUCCAUAAUGAGGUUGUAUAUAUAUAUCUGAUAAAAUUUGAUAAAAUAUGGUGGGUGCUCUGCCACUGGUAUAAGAUUUUUGUUGAUAAUUAUAAAUGUAAGUCUUGGAUUUUUAUUAUUCUUGAUCAUUCAAUAAGAUUCAAUCUUCUGCUUGAUAAAAAAUACAAAACCUUUUAUUGCUGAAUAUAGCGGUGUUCAGGUUCAACGGUGAUUUUGAAACCGAAAUCUCAUGAAACUGUUAAUGGAGGACUUUAACUGAGGUUAAAAGCAUCCUGGUGGGUAAGGGGGAAGGUUAAUGAAAAGUCAGAUUAAGAGGUAUAUGAUUCCUAUCUCUGUUUUUUAUGUUUUGAUUAUAUUGUUGAAUGCUUGGAU
This 802-nucleotide long non-coding RNA is filed under the name Trifolium pratense (red clover). RNAcentral describes it as "long non-coding RNA (TPRA_LNC004137)". Lineage: Eukaryota; Viridiplantae; Streptophyta; Magnoliopsida; Fabales; Fabaceae. The record is from RNAcentral.